Molecule: ribosomal RNA, 406 nt
Filed under: uncultured bacterium
Lineage: Bacteria
Description: partial 16S ribosomal RNA
Rfam family: Bacterial small subunit ribosomal RNA
Source: RNAcentral
AUUGAACGCUGGCGGCAGGCCUAACACAUGCAAGUCGAGCGAGCGGCGGCCGGGUGAGUAAUGUCUGGGAAACUGCCUGAUGGCGGGGGAUAACUACUGGAAACGGUAGCUAAUACCGCAUACCAUCAGAUGUGCCCAGAUGGGAUUAGCUAGUCGGUGGGGUAAUGGCUCACCUAGGCGACGCUCCCUAGCUGGUCUGAGAGGAUGACCAGCCACACGGGAACUGAGACACGGUCCAGACUCCUACGGGAGGCAGCAGUGGGGAAUAUUGCACAAGGGGCGCAAGCCUGAUGCAGCCAUGCCGCGUGUGUGAAGAAGGCCUUCGGGUUGUAAAGCACUUUCAGCGGGGAGGCGUUACCCGCAGAAGAAGCACCGGCUAACUCCGUGCCAGCAGCCGCGGUAAUAC